GUUAUAUGGUCAAGUGAAGAAGCGCAUACGGUGGAUGCCUUGGCAGUCAGAGGCGAUGAAAGACGUGGUAGCCUGCGAAAAGCUUCGGGGAGUCGGCAAACAGACUUUGAUCCGGAGAUGUCUGAAUGGGGGAACCCAGCCAUCAUAAGAUGGUUAUCUUGUACUGAAUACAUAGGUGCAAGAGGCGAACCAGGGGAACUGAAACAUCUAAGUACCCUGAGGAAAAGAAAUCAACCGAGAUUCCCUUAGUAGUGGCGAGCGAACGGGGACUAGCCCUUAAGUGGCUUUGAGAUUAGCGGAACGCUCUGGAAAGUGCGGCCAUAGUGGGUGAUAGCCCUGUACGCGAAAAUCUCUUAGUCAUGAAAUCGAGUAGGACGGGGCACGAGAAACCUUGUCUGAAUAUGGGGGGACCAUCCUCCAAGGCUAAAUACUACUGACUGACCGAUAGUGAACUAGUACCGUGAGGGAAAGGCGAAAAGAACCCCGGAGAGGGGAGUGAAAUAGAUCCUGAAACCGUAUGCGUACAAGCAGUGGGAGCCCACUUUGUUGGGUGACUGCGUACCUUUUGUAUAAUGGGUCAGCGACUUAUUUUCAGUGGCGAGCUUAACCGAAUAGGGGAGGCGUAGCGAAAGCGAGUCUUAAUAGGGCGUCUAGUCGCUGGGAAUAGACCCGAAACCGGGCGAUCUAUCCAUGGGCAGGUUGAAGGUUGGGUAACACUAACUGGAGGACCGAACCGACUACCGUUGAAAAGUUAGCGGAUGACCUGUGGAUCGGAGUGAAAGGCUAAUCAAGCUCGGAGAUAGCUGGUUCUCCUCGAAAGCUAUUUAGGUAGCGCCUCAUGUAUCACUGUAGGGGGUAGAGCACUGUUUCGGCUAGGGGGUCAUCCCGACUUACCAAACCGAUGCAAACUCCGAAUACCUACAAGUGCCGAGCAUGGGAGACACACGGCGGGUGCUAACGUCCGUCGUGAAAAGGGAAACAACCCAGACCGUCAGCUAAGGUCCCAAAGUCAUGGUUAAGUGGGAAACGAUGUGGGAAGGCUUAGACAGCUAGGAGGUUGGCUUAGAAGCAGCCACCCUUUAAAGAAAGCGUAAUAGCUCACUAGUCGAGUCGGCCUGCGCGGAAGAUGUAACGGGGCUCAAACCAUGCACCGAAGCUACGGGUAUCACUUAGGUGAUGCGGUAGAGGAGCGUUCUGUAAGCCUGUGAAGGUGAGUUGAGAAGCUUGCUGGAGGUAUCAGAAGUGCGAAUGCUGACAUGAGUAACGACAAUGGGUGUGAAAAACACCCACGCCGAAAGACCAAGGUUUCCUGCGCAACGUUAAUCGACGCAGGGUUAGUCGGUCCCUAAGGCGAGGCUGAAAAGCGUAGUCGAUGGAAAACAGGUUAAUAUUCCUGUACUUCUGGUUAUUGCGAUGGAGGGACGGAGAAGGCUAGGCCAGCUUGGCGUUGGUUGUCCAAGUUUAAGGUGGUAGGCUGGAAUCUUAGGUAAAUCCGGGAUUCUAAGGCCGAGAGCUGAUGACGAGUUGCCAUUAGGCGACGAAGUGGUUGAUGCCAUGCUUCCAAGAAAAGCUUCUAAGCUUCAGGUAACCAGGAACCGUACCCCAAACCGACACAGGUGGUUGGGUAGAGAAUACCAAGGCGCUUGAGAGAACUCGGGUGAAGGAACUAGGCAAAAUGGCACCGUAACUUCGGGAGAAGGUGCGCCGGUGAGGGUGAAGGACUUGCUCCGUAAGCCCAUGCCGGUCGAAGAUACCAGGCCGCUGCGACUGUUUAUUAAAAACACAGCACUCUGCAAACACGAAAGUGGACGUAUAGGGUGUGACGCCUGCCCGGUGCCGGAAGGUUAAUUGAUGGGGUUAGCUAACGCGAAGCUCUUGAUCGAAGCCCCGGUAAACGGCGGCCGUAACUAUAACGGUCCUAAGGUAGCGAAAUUCCUUGUCGGGUAAGUUCCGACCUGCACGAAUGGCGUAACGAUGGCGGCGCUGUCUCCACCCGAGACUCAGUGAAAUUGAAAUCGCUGUGAAGAUGCAGUGUAUCCGCGGCUAGACGGAAAGACCCCGUGAACCUUUACUAUAGCUUUGCACUGGACUUUGAAUUUGCUUGUGUAGGAUAGGUGGGAGGCUUUGAAGCGUGGACGCCAGUUCGCGUGGAGCCAACCUUGAAAUACCACCCUGGCAACUUUGAGGUUCUAACUCAGGUCCGUUAUCCGGAUCGAGGACAGUGUAUGGUGGGUAGUUUGACUGGGGCGGUCUCCUCCUAAAGAGUAACGGAGGAGUACGAAGGUGCGCUCAGACCGGUCGGAAAUCGGUCGUAGAGUAUAAAGGCAAAAGCGCGCUUGACUGCGAGACAGACACGUCGAGCAGGUACGAAAGUAGGUCUUAGUGAUCCGGUGGUUCUGUAUGGAAGGGCCAUCGCUCAACGGAUAAAAGGUACUCCGGGGAUAACAGGCUGAUACCGCCCAAGAGUUCAUAUCGACGGCGGUGUUUGGCACCUCGAUGUCGGCUCAUCACAUCCUGGGGCUGAAGCCGGUCCCAAGGGUAUGGCUGUUCGCCAUUUAAAGUGGUACGCGAGCUGGGUUUAGAACGUCGUGAGACAGUUCGGUCCCUAUCUGCCGUGGACGUUUGAGAUUUGAGAGGGGCUGCUCCUAGUACGAGAGGACCGGAGUGGACGAACCUCUGGUGUUCCGGUUGUCACGCCAGUGGCAUUGCCGGGUAGCUAUGUUCGGGAAAGAUAACCGCUGAAAGCAUCUAAGCGGGAAACUUGCCUCAAGAUGAGAUCUCACUGGAACCUUGAGUUCCCUAAAGGGCCGUCGAAGACUACGACGUUGAUAGGCAGGGUGUGUAAGCGCUGUGAGGCGUUGAGCUAACCUGUACUAAUUGCCCGUGAGGCUUGACCAUAUAACACCCAAGCAAUU
This 2915-nucleotide ribosomal RNA is filed under the name Pseudomonas gingeri. RNAcentral describes it as "23S ribosomal RNA". It matches the Rfam family "Bacterial large subunit ribosomal RNA". Lineage: Bacteria; Pseudomonadati; Pseudomonadota; Gammaproteobacteria; Pseudomonadales; Pseudomonadaceae. The record is from RNAcentral.